This 232-nucleotide ribosomal RNA is filed under the name uncultured bacterium. RNAcentral describes it as "partial 16S ribosomal RNA". It matches the Rfam family "Bacterial small subunit ribosomal RNA", at positions 100 to 334 of the family's 1533-position model. The record is from RNAcentral.
CGGGACGGGUGAGUAAUGUCUGGGAAACUGCCUGAUGGAGGGGGGUAACUACUGGAAACGGUAGCUAAUACCGCAUAACGUCGCAAGACCAAAGAGGGGGACCUUCGGGCCUCUUGCCAUCGGAUGUGCCCAGAUGGGAUUAGCUAGUAGGUGGGGUAACGGCUCACCUAGGCGACGAUCCCUAGCUGGUCUGAGAGAUGACCAGCCACACUGGAACUGAGACACGGUCCAG